GCGGCUAUAGUUUAGGGGUAGAAUUGAAGCUUCCCAUCGUAUUGUCCAUGGCGAGUUUGCUUCAGGCUCGGGUUCGAGUCCCGAUGGCCGCA
Karstenula rhodostoma CBS 690.94 is the source of this 92-nucleotide non-coding RNA. The record is from the annotation of a GenBank genome assembly. Lineage: Eukaryota; Fungi; Ascomycota; Dothideomycetes; Pleosporales; Didymosphaeriaceae.